This is a long non-coding RNA of Micropterus salmoides (largemouth bass), 372 nucleotides long. RefSeq lists it as uncharacterized. The transcript is spliced from 2 exons. Lineage: Eukaryota; Metazoa; Chordata; Actinopteri; Centrarchiformes; Centrarchidae. The record is from RefSeq and is a predicted model, not a curated record.
GUUGUGGGCUGCAUCUCUGGAACACUGGUCGUUUCCCCCCAGCUGCAGGCAAUCUGCGUUUCAUACACCUGUCUCCUGUGAUCAUCAGGACUGGCUUAUAUACCCUGCCAUCUCCUCAGUUCCCCGCUGGAUUAUUGAUUCUAGUUUUGUUUGUUGGAGACCCUGCUUUGCUCCCGUGCCGUUCUGUCACGGAGGACGCCUGGCUGGAGAUUUCCCCACCGCAGACUCACUUCUCUGUCAGCCCUGUUACCCGCCUGGCCAUGGCCUCGCACUUACCUGCCACCCAAUGCCACACCGGAGGAACCUUCUCCCCAGCAUCAAGCCUGUCUAACCAUAUCUUGUGUUCAAUAAACUGUGUGAAUAUCCUCCUGA